This is a non-coding RNA of Drosophila melanogaster (fruit fly), 99 nucleotides long. RefSeq annotates it as mir-87 precursor RNA. NCBI's taxonomy places the organism in Eukaryota, Metazoa, Arthropoda, Insecta, Diptera, Drosophilidae. The record is from RefSeq. The transcript has a single exon.
AACACAUUUCAUUCGCGCCUGUAUCUUGCUGAACCGCUGCCAUUAUGGCCAACGAUCCGGUUGAGCAAAAUUUCAGGUGUGUGAGAAAUGUGUUUAGCA